UGGGGAAUUUUGGACAAUGGGCGAAAGCCUGAUCCAGCAAUGCCGCGUGUGUGAAGAAGGCCUUCGGGUUGUAAAGCACUUUUGUCCGGAAAGAAAUGGCCCUGGUUAAUACCUGGGGUCGAUGACGCUACCGGAAGAAUAAGGACCGGCUAACUACGUGCCAGCAGCCGCGGUAAUACGUAGGGUCCAAGCGUUAAUCGGAAUUACUGGGCGUAAAGCGUGCGCAGGCGGUUGUGCAAGACCGAUGUGAAAUCGCCGAGCUUAACCUGGGAAUUGCGCUGGUGACUGUACAGCUAGAGUGUGUCAGAGGGAGGUAGAAUUCCACGUGUAGCAGUGAAAUGCGUAGAGAUGUGGAGGAAUACCGAUGGCGAAGGCAGCCCCCUGGAAUAACACUGACGCUCAUGCACGAAAGCGUGGGGAGCAAACAGG
This 429-nucleotide ribosomal RNA is filed under the name Bacillota bacterium. RNAcentral's name for it is "Firmicutes bacterium partial 16S ribosomal RNA". It matches the Rfam family "Bacterial small subunit ribosomal RNA", at positions 355 to 776 of the family's 1533-position model. Lineage: Bacteria; Bacillati; Bacillota. The record is from RNAcentral.